AGAUUGAACGCUAGCGGGAUGCUUUACACAUGCAAGUCGAACGGCAGCGCGGACUUCGGUCUGGCGGCGAGUGGCGAACGGGUGAGUAAUAUAUCGGAACGUGCCCAGUAGCGGGGGAUAACUACGCGAAAGCGUGGCUAAUACCGCAUACGCCCUACGGGGGAAAGGGGGGAGUCGCAAGACCUCUCACUAUUGGAGCGGCCGAUAUCAGAUUAGCUAGUUGGUGAGGUAAAGGCUCACCAAGGCGACGAUCUGUAGCUGGUUUGAGAGGACGACCAGCCACACUGGGACUGAGACACGGCCCAGACUCCUACGGGAGGCAGCAGUGGGGGAAUUUUGGUACAAUGGGCGAAAGCCUG
This 359-nucleotide ribosomal RNA is filed under the name uncultured soil bacterium. RNAcentral's name for it is "bacterial SSU rRNA". It matches the Rfam family "Bacterial small subunit ribosomal RNA", at positions 26 to 385 of the family's 1533-position model. The record is from RNAcentral.